RNAcentral lists this long non-coding RNA (1605 nucleotides) under Macaca fascicularis (crab-eating macaque). Its description in RNAcentral is "lncRNA (ENSMFAG00000056550.1)". Lineage: Eukaryota; Metazoa; Chordata; Mammalia; Primates; Cercopithecidae. The record is from RNAcentral.
GGACAUUAGAGAGACUCUAGGUCUCUCUGUCCCUCAGCUCUGUUCUCUUGGGUUGGCUCCACUCUCAGGCAGACGGUAGUCAAGAGCUGAGCUGAGCUGCCUGGUGUCCCAGUAGUCAAUUAAGACAAGCGAAAAGGAAAGUCUAACGGCUAAGUCUUUAUUUACUUACUGUGAUGGUCUGAGCAAGAGGCUAGACAGGAGGAAGCGCCAGCUCCCCUACAGGUCCAUACCCCUGGAGCAGCACCUGGCGAGGGUCAGGUGGAUCCACAUAGACAGGGGAUUUGUCUCACUGGAGUAAUAGGCUCCUGCCCUUUCACAGAUCUGGGCUGAGGUUCAGGUGUGGAAAAGUGCUGGACGCUGAGUCCAAGGGGAGAAAAGUAUCUUCAAGGUUCCCCCUUCUCCCGAUGAGCAGGGCUCAGGUGAGGCACCUGGGAAGACCUCAGGCAAAUGGAGACGCUGGGGCUAGGAAUACAGUUAUGUCUCACAGCAUGGCCGUUGAUGGGAGCCCUUGACCGCAACCUGCUUCAGGGACCCCAGGGUGCUGGCUGUGCACCAAGCGUGGCCAGGGAUGGCAGCUUUUUCUGUGAAGGCUGCCAGGUAAAGCCUUUGAAUUCACCUGAGGUCAGGCCUGAAAGAUCAUAAGCAGGUAUUUUGCCGGGAGCGAGUCCCCUCUCGUCCUUUAUGGUGGUGAGAUGGCUAUCGGCGGUUCCAGGCUUACAUCUUAUUCCUCUCAGAAACACCAGUAGGAACGGAGUGUUCCGUCUUAAUAGUUCCCGUAGAAAUUCCGAGACUAGAGACUCGCUCCAGUCAGACUGACUUGGGUCUUGCACCCGUCCCUGAACCAAUCACUGCGGCCAAGUGGACAGAAUGAAUGGAUUGACCUGGAUUGUGUCUAUACAUCUGGAUCGGGGGUUUGGGCAGGACCUCCCCAAGCUACUUCUAUGGAGAGCUGCGGAGAGGCACCACUUGCCAGAAGUGAGAGGGGCUCCUAGGUAAGCAAAAUCCACAGAUGCCCACUUUCUAGUACUUGAGUGACAAUGAAAGGGUUUAUUUAUUUCUUCGUUCAUUCACUAAAGAUUUAUUGAACAUCGGCUGUGGGCCAGGCAUUGUUCUAGGCCCUGGAGAGACAGCAAUGAAUAAGUGCAUCAAGCUUAAAUUCUCCUGGGGGUGAUAGACAAUAAAUACGAUCAGGAGGUAAAAUAUAUAGCCUGUUAGUGAUAAGGGAUAAAGGGGGAAAUAUACAUAUAACAGAGCUUUAUGACCCUAUAGGGAUAAGGGAAAAAAUUAAAGUAAAAAAGGAGGUGAGAAGGUAUGUGUAUGGGGACUGGGGGAUCCAGAAAGGCCCUGCCGAAGUUCAUCAGAGAAUGAGCAUCCCAGAUAUCUCGGGAAGGAGCAUUCAAGGCUGACAGGAUAGCAAAUGCCAAGGCCUCGGGUGGGAGCAUGCUUGGUGUGUUCAAGGAGUAGGAAGUAAAAGUUGCCAGACAUAACACUGGAUACCCAGUGACAUGUGAAUUUCAGAUGAACAAUAAAUAACUUUUUUAGUAUAAGUACAUCCCAAAUAGUGUAUGGUACAUACUUCGGCAAAAAAAUAAAAAAUAAAAAAAA